UGCUGUCCCUCUCUUACGUUCCGUUUCUCUCUCUCACUCUGUCUCUCUCCCUAACAUUUCGAUUCUCUUACUUUCUCACUGUCUCUCCUUUCCCACUUUCCUUCUCUUUAACUCUCUGUCUCUCUCGCUCUGCCUCUGUCGCUGUCUCUCUCCCUUACAUUUGUUUCUUUCAAUUGCUCUCUUUUCUGUCUCCCUCCUUUCUCUCUUGUUCUUUCUUUUCCCUUUAAUUAUGUUUCUCUCACAUCUCCCCUUUCUCAUUCUCUGCAUUUUUCUUACUCUCUGUUUCUCUCACUCUCUCAUUCUAUCCCUCACCCUCGCGAUCUGUCUCUCUCCCUUACAUUUGAUUUCUCUCGCUCCCCUCCCUUACUUUAGCUCCCCCGCCUCUUCUUUCGUCUAUGGUUCUCUCUCUCACUCAAUGUUUCUCCCCUCUCUGUCUUGUAUUUUAAUAGCACUUUCCCUAAUUCUCUUAUUUUAUCUGCGUCUUCCCCACUGCCCUAUCCCUUCCUUACUGGCUCUAUAGCAUGCUUUCUUUCAGUCUAUUUUCUUCUCUCCCACUCCUCGUUCUCUCUCUCUCCAACAGAACACAGUGGCCUGCGUCAUCCUCUCAGUGUCAGGCAGAGGGAGACAGGGAGACAAGCAGGUGCAGCCAUCUGGGUCAAGAUUAGGCAGACAGAAGGUCACACUCUUUCUGGGUGGAACUGCUAUCUCUCUGGGCAGGUUUGCCCUGUGUGGUGCACACAAUGCCCGCUAUUUCCAUCACAUGGCACUACGCAGCACCACCCUCUGGAGACGACGUGAACUCUGUAGAGUACAGACAUAAGGUUACACACAGACACACGUAGAUACAAGGACAGGAAGAUAAACAGACACAGACAAACAUAUUGAUAGACAUACACACAGAGACAAUACACAUACUCAAAAUCUCAAUCAGAAAAAGGAAACACUGCAUGCACACACACCUGCUCCUUGCUACUGAAGCUGCCCUCAAUAGCUGAUGCCUGCUGAACUGGGUAGCUAUGUGCACCCUCUACUGCUUCCCAUGAUGCUCUACAAACCUCCAGCACCUGGAAUGGAACACACCAGAUUCUAUGUGCAUCACUCCCUUCAUCUCCUGAUAGACGCCUGCUGUCGCACUGAGAGACAUUUGACAACAAUGGCUUCAGGAUUAACAUUGGAGGCUUCAUUCAGUGUUUUAUAAAUCAAGCUAAAAAGGUCCCCUAGUCAAAACUUUGUCUUUCUCCAUCUGAUUUAAUAAGAAUUGCAGCAUAAAAAAAACCUAAGCAGUAGUAACUACAGUGUUAAGAGGACUGAUAAAAAAAAUAUAUAAUUAGAGAAAGUAUUAAUAGCAGCUCAGUAUCAGUGGGGCUACCUUACACUGAAAACCGUGUUGGAAGUGGCUAUCUGUCUUUCUCUAUUAGCCUCUCCUGCUGCGAACAAGGUUGUGGCAAUCCCACACACACAAUAUCCUCAUGGGAAGGCAUAAUAAAGUGUCAAGUAGAAGGAAUUAAUUGUAGUGGAAAUUCAGGGGUCUCAAAAUGGUAUGUCAUCUUUAAUUGUCGGUAAGAGACCCGGCAACACACAAACAAUCCUUUUCUUUCGGUCCUGCAUGCACAAUUCGGCUUAGCAUAAGCUCUUUUCAAUAUAGUCCAUUAUACACUGCCAAAUUGAUGAGCCAACAUUGCGUUGCAAUUUUACAGGCUACAGGGUAUGAGACACUGGAGCAAUGCUGGACAAAAAGCAACAUGGAGACAACAUUAAAUAAGAAGCAUGGACUGAGAUCUCCUCCACCAAGACAGCAGCUGAACCCGUGUGUUUCAUGCACUUGUGUUUGUUCACUUGUGUUUUUUGUUAUAAUCGUUCCAAGACUAUGCAAUUGUAUGUGUGUUUACAUCUAAAUUCUGUUCAUGGUGUGUCUAUCUCUGUAAGUUAUGUCUGAAACAAUUUGUCUGAAACAAUGUCCCCCCCUGUUGCUGUCAUUGUUGGACCAGGUCUCUCUUGAAAAAUAUAAAUUAUCUCAGUGAGACCUGGAUAAAUAAAGGUGAAAUAAAAAUAUACAUUUCAAACUAAGUUUGCACGUGUAUUUAUCACAUAGCUUAUCGUUUGUUGACUGCUAAAGCAGCACUGAAAUUGACCAUCUAAAAACAGGACUCUGUUAAGUUCUGCAAGUACACUUUUUUUAUGCCAGGCAAACUGGCAUUGCAGACACAACAUUACAAAUACAUUUAUCAAACUUUCAAUAUCAUUAUUAUCUGGUACCUAGAUAAAAAAUGACAUUCAAAUAGACAGCCAGAUAGUUAAACAUGCAAAAAAAACACAAGAAGAAAUUGCAGUCAAAUGCAACAGUAGCUAGCGAUAACUAAUUAGAAGCAAGCUAGCUAUCUAGUAUCUACUUUAGCCAUCCCAUCCCACUCAGGGCUCAUCUCAAACAAUGCAAAUCACCAUGGUUUUCGUAUCAUCAUAAAUAUCUCACCCACCUGUCCUGAAAGAUUUUUCUGAGUUUAGCAAUCAGAUCGUCCAGCCUGAAUACGUCAUCAAUAAACCAUCUACAGUGCCUUCAUACUCAUACCCCUUGACUUAGUGCACAUGUUGUUGCAUUAC
Long non-coding RNA from Oncorhynchus mykiss (rainbow trout), 2598 nucleotides. RefSeq lists it as uncharacterized. Lineage: Eukaryota; Metazoa; Chordata; Actinopteri; Salmoniformes; Salmonidae. The record is from RefSeq and is a predicted model, not a curated record.